This 392-nucleotide ribosomal RNA is filed under the name uncultured bacterium. RNAcentral's name for it is "partial 16S ribosomal RNA". It matches the Rfam family "Bacterial small subunit ribosomal RNA", at positions 523 to 918 of the family's 1533-position model. The record is from RNAcentral.
AUACGGAGGAUGCGAGCGUUAUCCGGAUUUAUUGGGUUUAAAGGGAGCGUAGGCGGGAGCUUAAGUCAGCGGUUAAAUGGUGCGGCUCAACCGUGCCCUGCCGUUGAAACUGGGUUUCUUGAGAGUGCAAGAGGCGGAUGGAAUUCAUGGUGUAGCGGUGAAAUGCUUAGAUAUCAUGAAGAACUCCGAUUGCGAAGGCAGUCCGCUGGGGCACGUCUGACGCUGAUGCUCGAAGGUGCGGGAAUCAAACAGGAUUAGAUACCCUGGUAGUCCGCACGGUAAACGAUGAAUACCCGCUGUCGGCGGCAGACAGUCGGCGGCCAAGCGAAAGCGAUAAGUAAUCCACCUGGGGAGUACGCCGGCAACGGUGAAACUCAAAUGAAUUGGCGGGG